This 938-nucleotide ribosomal RNA is filed under the name Russula acrolamellata. RNAcentral describes it as "partial large subunit ribosomal RNA". It matches the Rfam family "Eukaryotic large subunit ribosomal RNA", at positions 40 to 954 of the family's 3401-position model. The record is from RNAcentral. Lineage: Eukaryota; Fungi; Basidiomycota; Agaricomycetes; Russulales; Russulaceae.
AUAUCAAUAAGCGGAGGAAAAGAAACUAACAAGGAUUCCCCUAGUAACUGCGAGUGAAGCGGGAAAAGCUCAAAUUUAAAAUCUGGUGGUCUUUGGCCAUCCGAGUUGUAAUUUAGAGAAGCGUCUUCCGCGCUGGACCAUGCACAAGUCUCCUGGAAUGGAGCGUCAUAGAGGGUGAGAAUCCCGUCUUUGGCAUGGACCCCCAGGGCUUCUGUGAUGCGCUCUCAAAGAGUCGAGUUGUUUGGGAAUGCAGCUCAAAAUGGGUGGUGAACUCCAUCUAAAGCUAAAUAUUGGCGAGAGACCGAUAGCGAACAAGUACCGUGAGGGAAAGAUGAAAAGCACUUUGGAAAGAGAGUGAAACAGUACGUGAAAUUGUUGAAAGGGAAACGCUUGAAGUCAGUCGCGUUGACCGAGACUCAGCCUUGCCUUGGCUUGGUGUACUUCUCGGCUGACGGGUCAGCAUCAAUUUUGAUCCUUGGAUAAUGGCAAGGGAAAGGUGGCACCUUUACAGGUGUGUUAUAGUCCUCUGUCGGAUGCAAGGGUUGGGAUUGAGGAACUCAGCACGCACCUCAUCGGUGUCGGGGCCUUGGCCUACGUUACGUGCUUAGGAUGCUGGCAUAAUGGCUUUAAACGACCCGUCUUGAAACACGGACCAAGGAGUCUAACAUGCACGCGAGUGUUCGGGUGGAAAACCCGUGCGCGUAAUGAAAGUAAAAGUUGGGACCUCUGUCGUGGAGGGCACCGACGCCCGGACCAGACCUUCUGUGACGGCUCUGCGGUAGAGCGUGUAUGUUGGGACCCGAAAGAUGGUGAACUAUGCCUGAAUAGGGUGAAGCCAGAGGAAACUCUGGUGGAGGCUCGUAGCGAUUCUGACGUGCAAAUCGAUCGUCAAAUUUGGGUAUAGGGGCGAAAGACUAAUCGAACCAUCUAGUAGCUGG